UUUUGUUUUUUUUUUGUUACUUUUUUAUAACACUCAGACAAUGAAAGAAUUUAGAAAAAGAAUAUAAAUUUUUUUUCGCAUUUCGUUUUUUUUCUUUUGGAAUUUUUGAAAGAAAAGCUUUUAAAGAGGAAAGAAAAUAUUUUUGGAUUUUUUGUUUAGAUUUUUUUUUAAAUUUUCGAAAGAAAGACUUCUAAAGAAGAAAGGAAAAAUUAUUUUUUCUGGAUUUUGAUUUAUUUAUUUUUGAGACAAAGACUUAUAAAAGGUAGAAAAUAUUUUUUGGAUUUUGAUUUGAUUUAUUUUCUUUUUUCGAAUAAAAGACUUCUACAAAGAAAAUAUUUUUGGAUUUUUGAAAAUUGGGGGCCGGAAUCAAUGAGGUUUGCCUACGUAUUUCACAUCCGGUGAGAAUUAGACCCGUAUAGUUCUGUUACAUACCAUGUUUUCGUACGUAGGAGUAGGUCGUAAGUCAAUUGAUGUAAGCUCAGAAAUGAAAUCAUAUUUGAAAGGUUUACAAAGUUAGUUAAUCAUGUUAAUGUGGAAGUUACAAAUAUUUAAGAUCAUGAGUACCAAGAGGGUUUGAAGGCUUAGAAGCUAAACAAAUUGAAGAAAAUAAGUUUCGUCGAAAGUCGACAAGUUGGAAUGUCAUAACAUGUAUUUUUUCGGUGAGACUAGGGUGCUUAACAUUAUAUGGAGAUUAUGUAAUGAGUUAUUUUAGUCGUAUGAUAGUCAUGUGUUUUGUUUUGAAGUCAAGCGAGUAGUGGAACAAAAGUUGGAAAAGGUCAUCACAAGUUCCAUUCAUAAAUGUGUUGAAACUUAGGUCAAAUGUAACUGCGAUUUUCUCCCAAUUUACUUAGAAUUAUCGGUGUUCCACCCAUCAAAUUGAAGAUCUAUAAGUCUAUUUUCUAACACAUUAAACCGUUUAUCAAUAAGACAUAGGAGUAUAUAUAUAUAUAUAUAUAUAUUUGCAAGAUUGCGUAGCCUGCUAGGUGACAAGUAGGUUUGUUACCUACAUGGUUAAAUGAGAGCCCAAAAAGAGGAAAUUUCGGGUAACCUCAUUAUAUAUCACAAAUAACCAGACCUAAACCCCUGCAAACUUCCUCCAAAAAAUUACCCACAAACCUUAAUUGAUUUUCUCUCCCUUUCAAGUUCUAAUUGGGGGUAAAACCUAGAGUUUGAAGAACCAAGAUAAGGGCUGAGUUAUCCAACAAAUAAGGUAAGUUUACCGCUUUCUUUCAUCCCUUUUCUCUGCUGUAAAUUCAUGGUGAGUCUUUCUAUACUUGUAAGAACUCAUGGAACGGUGAUCGGAAGCCAUGAGUUCGAGUUAUUCACUUGUACGGGACUGUUUUAUGGACUGUAUUGUGUUGUUGUUGGGCUGCAUGUUUUACUACUAUUUUGUGGAGUUUUGGAGGAGGAAGGUGUGGAGAAAUACCAUAUAACUGUAGGGUGGUGGGCUGGUCGUUCAUCAUAAUAUUUCCGGGUCGUUUAACACUACUACAGUGGUCAUUUUGUGUAUGAAGAGAUUGGGGUGUGUUGGGCUGUUUUGUAGUAUUUGAUGGUGUAUAUAAGGCUGGAAAAAAUGUAUAUAUGUUGUUAUUGUUAUGUUCUUGUGUUUUUGGUGUUAUCUUGAAUUUGGAGGAAGUAAAUACUAUAGGGGAGAUGUUGCCCGUUUUAAUAGAAAAAAAGUUUGUCGUUCAUUGUGCGAUAGUUGUACCUUUCGUAACAUAAUGAUAGUAUUAUUAUCAUUGUUGUAGAUUAAGGUGCGAAGAGGCGAGUUCAACUUGGUGAUUGGAAAGACUGUGAUAAGGUAUAUUAAGGCUAAACUUUUCUUUCAUUUGGCAUGAUCCAGUAACUACAUGUGUUUGACAACGAGACNNNNNNNNNNNNNNNNNNNNNNNNNCGCCUAUGAGCGAGCCUACUAUGGCAGAGAAGUUACUCAUACCGAGCCUUAUAAGGUCGGACAGUUAUUUUACUUACUAUAUUAAGAGAGUUGAGUCAGUAUCAUCCGGUAAGCAUAUCUUCAUAGUAUCUUUGACGCCCAAUUACUUUCAGUUAUUAUAUUAUCAGUUCAGCUUCAGCUUUUAGUUAUCUUGCUACCUUACAUACUCAAUACAUUAUUUCGUACUAACGUCCCUUUUGCUAGAGACGCUGCAUCUCAUGCCUGCAUGUCCUCAUCGAUAGCUGGACAGACCCUCCCAGCAGACAGAGUCAAACAUCAGUUUAGUUGAUAAGCUCCACUUCCCCAGAGUUGUCAGGUCUAGACCUUAGAGUCCAUUGUAUAUAUACAGGUUUGAUGGAUAGGUCGAGGCCCUGUCCCGAUCAUGGUACAGUUCAGCUAUCUCUAGAGGCUUAUAGACAAUCCUGUAUAGUUUGUAUAUCAGUAGAUAUUCAUGGAGGCCUCGUCGGCCUCCACAGUUUAUAUAUAUAUAUUGUGUGUGUGAGAGAGAGAGAGAGCUUUUGGGUAUGUUUACCCCACAGAUGAGAGAGAUGUUAUUUUCAGACGAUACAGAAUAUGGCCUCAUCGACCUAAGUUGAGGGUUACCCCUCCAGAGUCCACAGUUACAGAGUAGUACGCUCGGGUCGAGUACGGCACCAGGUGCCGGCCACGCCUUCCUAGGUUCGGGACGUGACAAAUUCGGUCAGUUUUGACGCAAUAGGAAACUAUGACCUAUUUUGAAAUGACUUUUCCUUUAUCUACUUUUCUUUUUUUUCAUACCUACCUCUCACUCUUUUUUUUAAUUCUCUUUUUUUCUUCUUUUUUUAUUUCCUUUCCCUAUUUUAGAAGCCAGUCAACAUGCAUGCCGAAACAAACAAAUGCACAAGUAGCACGUAAGAUGCAUCAGGAUGGUCUUUUAAUUUGAGUACACCUACGGACACAAUCCCUGUUUUGAGUACCCAAAGUCAAAUGCAUGUGAUGCAAACAAACGUACCUACUAGAGAUCCGGCAUGAGGUUAUGUCAUUCUAGGUAUGAAUCCUGGGUGUAUUUUUCUAGACCUAGCUUACCCGAGCGGACAACUUGUGCCGAGGGGGGCGCAACGUACUAGGAACUAAAAGGCCAUCCGGCUUUGUAACUGAUCUGAUCCUCGUUCUAAAUUAGAGUAUGACACUAACAGAAAAGAAGUCACGCCAGCGUGCACUUCCCAGAAGAUUUAGUAGACUCAGAGAGAAGAAGGGUUUCGUAACAGUUUUAUAUACAGUUCAAAGAAUAUCAAAGCAGUAAAAAGAGUGGCAAUUAGCACAUUAUCAAACACGUAAAAAAUUAGAUAAUAAAUAAAUUCAAGUAUAACAUUAUUCUAAGCUCGAAUUCUGAACCCUAAACCAGAUAUUCUGGGUUCGUAUAACUAGCAGAGUCGCCAGAGCUAUCACACUUCCUUUUUCCCGAGGGAUAGGGAGUUUUUCUAAUUAAAGUGGCAUUAUUUAAAAUGGAUUUAUUUAUUAGAUUCAGAGUCGUCACUUGGAAUAAUUAUUAUGGUGUCCCAAGUCACCAGUUUAUUUUAUAUCCCAAAUCGAGGAAAGUUUUACUUUGUUCUAAAGUCUGCGAAUCCAAAAGAUCGGGUAAGGAGUUCUGUUAUCCCGGAAGAAGGUGUGAGUAACUCCCAAAUUCUUUGGUUUAGCAUGGUCGCUCAACUAUUAAUAAUUGACCUAAUUAUCUUAUUUGUUACAUGUUUAAAACCUAUUGUGCAAUUUUUACUUUUUGACCGCUUUUGAUAGAAUUUUAAUUGCUUUUAGGAUUUAUGGAAUUUAUUAGAACAAGUCACGAUGUCACGCACUCAUUUAAUUUUGUACGGAUUGCAAAUCGCGACAUGUGAAAUGCACCCGCAAUUUAUAGUAUGUUAAUUUGUAUUAUUAUUUGAAGUUAUGGUCGAGUCACGUGAAACGCACACUCAAAUUUGGGGGUUUACGUAUCAUGACUAUGCCAUGAGAACCGUACCCAUAAUCAUGAAGAUUUAUUUAAUCAUGAUUAAAGCAAGCUACAAUGUCCUUUUGAUUCAUUUUUCUAAGUUUGGGGAUUUUGUGAAGCUACGAAUUAGAGUGAAUUCUGUAUCAAAUGUAUAUGUAUUUCUAAGCUAAGGAAACAUGAAACUUAAUGAGGGAUAUCAAAAAUUGAUUGAAACUGGUUAUUGAAAUAUGCGAAGAGGAUAAGAUAUCUUAAAUAAAUAUAAAACUUUGAAUGGCCACCAAAGGUCUAAGUGUAAGACUAUUGACUAUGUUCUUUGUUAUUUGCACCAUGUUGAUUAAUAAUAGGAUAAAGAUCUAUCAAUUAAUUUGCUCAAAAGUUUGCAUCAUAAUUUUACCAAAUCCAACAAACAAACAUGGGCUUCUAGUGAAGCCAAGCCCAAAACGUGGUGGCCAAACAUCUCGAUGAGCUGACUGAAAUAGAUCGCAUCAGUCAGGUAUGAACUACUCUUCACAAUUAUUUUAGGUCACUACUUAUAUUUAUAUCAUAGUUUUAACGCUAUAUCAGCACAUUCCAGACAUACUCAGUUCCUCACAAAUCCUUGCAAUCAGAAUCUAAGUAAACAAACAAAACACAAAACAAGCUAACCAAAUUUCAUUAUAAAUUCAAGUAAAUGUUGAUAGGUGAAUGUACAUACUUAAAAGCGGAGGAAUUGCAGAAAAUGAUCAAGUAAAGUAUGGAAUUAAAAGAAAAAUGAAGCUCCAAAGCAACAUAACAACAACGAGAAGCAGUAUAAUCAACACAAAACUUCAAUUUCCAUAUCUACAGCUUCGAAAAUAGAGCUUAAAAUAAGCUAAAAUGCAGAACAUUAGAGGAACAACACCUAGCAAUCUAGAAAGCAGCACAGUCCAGCAGAAAAUAGUAGCAAUUUCCUUUAAAAGCCUAGAUUUUGAAAGCUCUUUUCCUUUUUAGAUCUAUUUUUGUAAAAUUCAAAAAAUAAUCGAUUCUCAAUUGUUUUGUAUGUGUGCUCAUGAAGUGUAUGAGCAGAAUGUAUAGAUGAGAAUGGGGAAGUAGGAGUGUAAGAGAUGGGGGUGGUGGCUAUUUGAAGAAGGGAAAGAGCUGCUAGGGUUUUUGUUAUUUUUUUGGGAGAGAUUUGUGUGUCUGUUCUUCUGAAGAUGAGAAUUAGGUAUUAAUUUAAUGGGUAAGGAGAUGGGAAUUGGGCGGCUAGGUG
This 5124-nucleotide long non-coding RNA is filed under the name Nicotiana tabacum (common tobacco). Its description in RNAcentral is "long non-coding RNA (NTAB_LNC017805)". The record is from RNAcentral. Lineage: Eukaryota; Viridiplantae; Streptophyta; Magnoliopsida; Solanales; Solanaceae.